AGUCGUCUAACUUGACUCUGAAUAUACCCAUCAGUUUGGGUCAAUGAAGCUGAGGAGAAAGCUCUCAUUCUCGAUUUCUCUCAGACCUCUUGCCCAUCAGCUGCCAACCUCCUCCUGUCUGUGCUAAACUUUCACCUAACGAUAAAAGGAAAAUACUUUUAAUUCAUUACGGUUCAUUAAAAUAAAAAUAAAAUGUAUUUUGCAUCAAAAUGGAAAAAAUACAACUCAUUUAUUAUUAGCAUAUAAAUGGCAUUUUUUAAUGUCACAGGGCCUCAAAAAUCACUUACAUUUGCAGUGAUCAGAGCACACAGAAUUAAUUUUUGAUAGCCUUUUGUGAUCUGCUGAAAAUUCUUAAUUUCUUUUUGUGUUUUAAACAGCAAACUGUAUCCACUGCUAUUCAUAGCAAAAUUUAGAUAAUGAAGCAAUUAAAAAUACAUAGAUUUGAAGAUCUUAUCUCAUUUUUCCUUUGGCCUAUUUCUGCUUCAUUAUUCAUGAUGGGGUAUGUUUAAUUCAGAGUUCAUAAUUGCAGAUAUAGCCAGUAUAAAUUGUGCCUCACACUCUUUACCCAUUUCAAUUUAUUUUAGCAAAUAGAUCUCUAUUUAGGGGGAAAAAGUGGUGGAGAGAGAGGAAGGUCUGAGGGAAAUGCAGAGAUCUGUGUUGUGUGUGUGUGUGUGUGUGUGUGUGUGUGUGUGUGUGUGCGCUUAUUUGAAUUGGAACGUCCAAAUAAGUCUCAAAAGUAUUCAUAACUACAUUUCCAGGGACUUCUAAGAGCCAGGGAAUGGGCUAAGUUUUGUAUAUGACGUUUCAUUUAAGACUUAAGGUGACCUUAGAAGGGCAGUGGUUAGUUAGCAGCCCUGUCUCAGAGGCUCAGAGAACUUGGAAAGAGGGCCAAUGUCACCUGUUAGAGAUGGCAGAGACUUAUGACUGGAACGUGGCUGUCUGCCUCCAGAACCUGUGCGGAGUCAUUCAUUCUGUGUGCCCCAGGAUUCCGCAUGUCAGUGCCUCAAGGAGGUUUGUCAGGCGUUGUUGAAAUCAUACCCCUGUGACAGUCCCACCUAACGGCAUUCCUGCUUCAUAAAGGAGCUGCUCCAAGGAGCCUGGGAUGUAACUGGUUUCUGUGGACCCUGCACAGAUUUUAAGAACAUGCAUCUGAGAGAAGUAACAGAAUAAGAACAUAGAGAUUCCAGCGGUAAGAUCGAUGGUCUAUGCACCGGUAGAGAACAGCAAAGGAAAUUAAACAGGGAAAGGGGCAAGAGAAGGAAAGAAAUGAAGCAAAGUAAAUGGCCUUUAAAGAGUCCAGCUGCAGACCGGCCAAAUCCGGAUGCAUUUAUUCAAUAUUAUACUAUGGAGGUGUCAAAAUGAUGGACGAGAAUUUCAGCUUCCUGAUAUGUGAAAAAUAUUUAAAGUAAAUUAUUUCACAAGAUAGCAGGCUUAUAAAAACAAUACAUAUAGCCUCCCUCUAUUUUAACAAUAACAGCAGCAGCAAAAAGAAUAAUAAUAAUGUUUGAGAAGCCAGAGUAAGUAGAUCAGCUUGGUUCAAUAAAGAUGUAAUACAAACCACACAUCAUUUAAAAUUUUCUGAUAAUCAUAUCUUAAAAUGAAAUUAAUUUUAAUAACAUAUUUUACUUAUCACUAAAUAUUCAAAGAUUAAUUAUCCUCUCAAUUAUCUUUCAACUAUCUGAGAAUAAUGAAUUGAUCCACUGUUCUGUACUGGUGCUUUGGAAUCUGGUGUCUCUUAUAGCGAAUCAGAGGACUCUGCAAAUCUGUGGUGGCACCGUGCCCACCCCACACAUAACAGGCCUGGGAGAAUAUGCAUGAGUGUUCUGUCCCUGGACCAGUCUCAGGCUACCGUGAUUAUGCUACAUUUCAUCCUUUCAUCAGCAUAUUUGACAUUUUACGAUGUUUUAAGAAUAGCUUAUCAGUUUUGCAUAAGGCUAUUUCCUAAUGGGAGACUGAGUUCUCUGGAGCAGAUCAAUCACUUGUCUGGGUCACACAGCUGGGAGUUAGAGUAAUGAAAACCUGACUUAGGCAUGUCUUACCUCGUCCUCGUGACGAAGCUGGCAUGUGCGCCUUCUUGCAUCUCUCUCUCUCUCUCUUCUCUCUCUCUCUUUCUCUCUCUCCCUCAGUGUGUGUAUGUACUUGCCUGUGUAUGUGCAUGUGCAUGCAUGUGUGUGUGUGAGUUUGUGUAUGUAUAUAUGUGAGUGUGUAUAUGGGCUUGCUAGUGUGUGUAAGUCUUUGCCCCUGUGAAUGUGAGUCUAUGUAUGUGCUUUCCUCUGUGUGUGUGUGUGUGUGUGUGUGUGAAUCUGCUAUGUGUGUGUGUGUGUGUAUGUGUGUGAGUCUGCUGUGUGUGUGUGUAUGUGCUUGCCUGUGUAUGUGUAUGUGACUGUGUGCAUAUGCUUGCCUGUUUGUGUGUGUGUGUAUGUGUGUGUGAGUGUGUGUAGUGUAUGUGCUUGCCUGUGUUUGUAUGAGUUUGUGUGUGAGUGUAUGUGCUUGCUUGUGUGUAUGUAUGUGCGUCCCUGUGUGUGUGUAUGUAAAUGUGCUUUGUGUGUGUUGUGUGAGUGCUUGCCUGUGUGUGUUGUGUGAGUGUGCAUAUGGGCUUGCCUAGGUGUGUGAGUGUGUAUAUGUGCUUGCCUGUUUGUGUGUGUAUGUUUCCCCGAUGUGUUUGAGAGUGUGUAUAUGUGCUUGUCUGUGUGUGUGUGUGUGACAGUGUGUAUAUGUGCUUGUCUGUGUGUGUGACUAUGUGUAUAUACUUGCCUAUGUGUUUGUGGGUGUGUGUAUGUGCUUGCUUGUGUGUAUGUAUGUGCGUCCCUGUGUGUGUGUAUGUAAAUGUGCUUUGUGUGUGUUGUGUGAGUGCUUGCCUGUGUGUGUUGUGUGAGUGUGCAUAUGGGCUUGCCUGUGUGUGUUUGAGAGUGUGUAUAUGUGCUUGCCUGUUUGUGUGUGUAUGUUUCCCCGAUGUGUUUGUGAGUGUGUAUAUGUGCUUGCCUGUUUGUGUGUAUAUGUUUCCCCGAUGUGUUUGAGAGUGUGUAUAUGUGCUUGUCUGUGUGUGUGACUAUGUGUAUAUACUUGCCUAUGUGUUUGUGGGUGUGUGUAUGUGCUUACCUGUGUGUGUGCCUGUCUUGGUGUUGCCUGUCUCCCUCUACCACUCCUCACCUUAGUUUUCUUUUAAAGAUUUAUUUAUUUAUUUAUUUCCUAUAUGUAGCUGUCUUCAGACACAGAAGAGGGCAUCAGAUCCCAUUACAGAUGGGAGCCACCAGGUGGUUGCUGGGAAUUGAACUCAGGACCUCUGGAAGAACAGUCAGUGCUCUUAGCCACUGAGCCAUCUCUCCAGCCCCUCACCUUAGUUUUUGAGGCAGGGUUUCUCAAACCCAAGACAUAACUUUCCCUUCUCCAGCUCUGGGAUUACAGAUGUGUGUUUUACAGAGAGGCUGGGGAUUGAACUCUGGUCCCGAAUGUUUUCUCAUCAAGCCCUUCACUGACUGAGCCACAUCCCCAGCGCCUGGAGAAUUAUAUUUUAAUUUGGUUUGUUGUCAGUGAGUGUUCCCAGUUGCUUAAGUCUGAUUUUCAAACUGUUUUUAAAGUUACACUCAGAGACAAUUGUGAAGUGCACAGCGGAAGAGUCUUUCCAAAUGGCCUUUCUUGAGUAGUGAAUUUCCUUGCCAUACAUAACACGGUCUGUGAGACCGAAGACAGCCUGGCUUAUAAACCUUCCUUAUGCCACAUAGAUGCAGAAGCAAGGAUCGGUGGCUCUGCAGCACACUACCCUUGCAAAUGGCUGCUCCAUAGUUCGUUGUGGCUUGCACUUGGAGGCUUGCAGACAGUACAGUGUCCAAUAAAUAGGUGGGACUUUCUCUGCUAGUUGUCCACACUGCCAGCAGGCAGUGCCAUCUGGAUUGCAUCCGGUGACCUCCUGCCUUCUCCCUAAGUAAAUCUCUAUCGCCUGACUAGGCAUGUAUGGCACAGUUACAAAGUCCCAGUCCUGGUUGGCAGCUGACUCACUUGGGAAAUUUACCAGAAACCCCCAGAGUCCCAGUUUCCUCUCCCCUAAUUAUUGGAAUGAGGAUAAACAAGACUGGGCUGAGAAUCGGGUGAGUGUUUAGCAGAAAUCCUGUAUGGUGGUAAAUUCUUAAUAAAGGUUUGUGAGGGUCAGCACAAACAGCAGGGCUAUCGGCAGACAGCUGCCCAUACUUUGUUUUAUUUCAUCUCUCUCCUCCUUUUUCCUAGAGGAGAAUGACAGGGAUCGGCUUUCUAAGAAACCGUGUGCUAUUCAGUGACUUCUUGUCAAGGUGGCGGUGCUCCACAUUCUACUCUUGGUAAGUAUCAAAUGGGUCCAUGUCAGACAAGUCAUGGCUUUUAAUCUCCCUUUACUUGCCAUGUCACCUGUCAGUGACCUUGACUGUCGCCGGCUGCCUCCUGUUCUGCAGUUUCCUGAUAAGUGUGUUUACAGCUUUUGAAGUCGUGUCUGCAGAAAGCCGCAUCUGGUUCGCUACGGCCUUAACAGACACAAUGGAAUACAAAGCCUAAUUCAGCAGAGCACACAGUCCAGGUCCAUUUCCCAGAAGAGCGGGAUGGAGGAAGUCAGUGGAGAUGGUUCUCCUACAAGUGAAGGUGCUGGGAAGAGGAAGUACCUGCUGUGACCGUGCUCGCAAGCAGUGAUCCGCCGCGGCAGAGACCAGCAUAAGAGCUACUGAGCAGUAAGCAGUUCGACCCGUUAAGCUCAUUUUGUGCGGCAGAAAAUGUGCCAAUUGCAAAGCUCAGACAGGAUAGUAACACGUUUUGAUGAAGGUAAGAACGUGCUACGUGUUAGUAGCAAACACCUGUGAUACCAGCACUCAGUAGACUGAGGCGGGAGGUUUGUGAACCACAGAUCAACCAAGCUACACCGUGAGUUUCAGAUUGGCCAGAGCUUUACAGAAUGAUCCAGACAAAUGAGAAACAACACAACGUCUGUAAAUUUGAUUUAUUUAUGUCUUCUGGUGACAUAUAUCGUCAUGGUUUUCCUGGAUUAUUGCCUGGGUGAUGUUGUAGGCUUCUCCUGGCAUCCUUCAGAAGUCUAGGCAUCAGGAUAGCCCAGGGCCAAGGUGCUGCCUGAUUUGCUGCCCAGUCACAAGACUACCCUGACUUUGGGCAACAAUAGGAUGUCUGAGAUGAGGCUCAGUGAUAGUCCAGCAUUUAUGGUGCUUCAGAAACCUUGAACCAGACCAAUGGCUCAUUGCAAUACUUACAUGCAUGUAAAGCUGUUUGGGCAAAAUAAUAUACUGUGUGACACACAGCCGUUGGCAAUGACAUUUUAAUAAAUGAAUGUGCAGUGAGAGAUGGGAAAGAUGGCAGUAUGGUGGAGCAGGGAGAGAGAGAGAGAGAGAGAGAGAGAGAGAGAGAGAGAGAGAGAGAGAGACAGCAGCAGUGAUAGGUGUGGGAGCACAAAGGGAUGUAGCAAAGGACCAUGUCAUUGGUCAUUGCCAAGCAGGGCUGGCAGUGUUCUGUACAGAAGCUUGGAGCUUGGGUGGGCUCUGCUCCUGAGUGCACUGUCUAACUGCAGCAAAAUCACCCUGACUCUCAACAAGAAGACCCUGGAGAUGAAGAACAGUUCAUUUUCUGGUUUAAGCAUUCUCGAAAGACUUCCGAGGUCCAUGCUUCGGCUGGCAGCUAUGUUGGUGUCUAUGGUCCAUGCUGAUGUUUGUGGUUGGUGCUGCCACCAGAGGCCAUGUUGAUGUCUGUGAUCCGUGUUGCCUCUGGAGGGCAUGUUGGUGUCCAUGAUCUGUGCUGCUGAAGGAACCCUUACGUUGAUGUCAUGGUCUGUGCUGCCACAUGAGACCAUGUUGAGGUCCACGAUCAGAGCUGCCCCAGGAGACCAUGUUGAUGUCUGUGGUCCAUGCUGCCUACAGCUGCUAUGAGUAGGGAUGCUUCUUUUGCAGUGGUAUUGAUGACUACAGACUCAAAAUGAGAAUGAGAGACAUUGACAGUUUCUGUGACAGGCUUCCUCUUCCCACCCUACCAUGCAAAGGAAACAGUCCAGAGAGGAAGCUAUUGAAGAGAGUCCUUAAAAAUUGUGAUUAAAAUGCUAAAGGUCUUUGCAGUUCAUGUCUUCUGGUGCAAGUGGAGUGGGGAAGAACUCUCUUUUCUUUACGGGGCUGGCCACUGUAAGGGGUUGACCAUGUUCCAAAAAGUAUAUGAACAACACAAA
This is a non-coding RNA of Rattus norvegicus (Norway rat), 6181 nucleotides long. Lineage: Eukaryota; Metazoa; Chordata; Mammalia; Rodentia; Muridae. The record is from RefSeq and is a predicted model, not a curated record.